UACGUAGGUGACCAGCGUUGUCCGGAUUUACUGGGUUUAAAGGGUGUGUAGGCGGACUUUUAAGUCAGCGGUGAAAUCUCCGGGCUCAACCCGGAAACUGCCAUUGAUACUAUUGGUCUUGAAUGUUGUUGAGGUGGGCGGAACGGGUCAUGUAGCGGUGAAAUGCAUAGAUAUGACCCGGAACACCGAUUGCGAAGGCAGCCCACUAAGCAAUGAUUGACGCUGAGGCACGAAAGCGUGGGGAGCAAACAGG
RNAcentral lists this ribosomal RNA (253 nucleotides) under uncultured bacterium. Its description in RNAcentral is "partial 16S ribosomal RNA". It matches the Rfam family "Bacterial small subunit ribosomal RNA", at positions 524 to 776 of the family's 1533-position model. The record is from RNAcentral.